RNAcentral lists this ribosomal RNA (328 nucleotides) under uncultured Anaerolineaceae bacterium. RNAcentral describes it as "bacterial SSU rRNA". It matches the Rfam family "Bacterial small subunit ribosomal RNA", at positions 1040 to 1382 of the family's 1533-position model. The record is from RNAcentral. Lineage: Bacteria; Bacillati; Chloroflexota; Anaerolineae; Anaerolineales; Anaerolineaceae.
GUUGCAUGGCUGUCGUCAGCUCGUGUCGUGAGAUGUCGGUUAAGUCCGCUAACGAGCGCAACCCUCGCUGUAUGUUACAUGUGUCAUACAGGACCGCCGGUAUCAAGCCGGAGGAAGGUGGGGAUGACGUCAAGUCCGCAUGGCCUUUAUGUCCGGGGCUACACACACGCUACAAUGGUCGGUACAAUGGGUUGCUAAGCCGCGAGGUGGAGCCAAUCCCCCAAAGCCGGCCUCAGUUCAGAUUGCAGGCUGCAACUCGCCUGCAUGAAGCUGGAGUUGCUAGUAAACGCGCGUCAGCUAUAGUGCGUUGAAUACGUUCUCGGGCCUU